This 114-nucleotide ribosomal RNA is filed under the name Prolemur simus (greater bamboo lemur). Lineage: Eukaryota; Metazoa; Chordata; Mammalia; Primates; Lemuridae. The record is from RNAcentral.
CUUAGUACCACCCUGAAUGCACCCAACCUCAUCUAAUCUCAGAAGCUAAGCAGGGUUGGGCCUGGUUAGUACUUGGAUGGGAGACAUCUUCACAUUUUUUGCUUCUAUCUGAGU